Molecule: ribosomal RNA, 265 nt
Filed under: uncultured archaeon
Lineage: Archaea
Description: partial 16S ribosomal RNA
Rfam family: Archaeal small subunit ribosomal RNA
Source: RNAcentral
AGACGUCUACAUUAGAUACCCCUGUAGUCCCAGCCGUAAACUAUGCGCGUUAGGUGUAUCGGUGACCACGAGUUACCGAGGUGCCGAAGGGAAACCGUGAAACGUGCCGCCUGGGAAGUACGGUCGCAAGGCUGAAACUUAAAGGAAUUGGCGGGGGAGCACCACAACAGGUGGAGCCUGCGGUUUAAUUGGACUCAACGCCGGGAAGCUCACCGGAUAGGACAGCAGAAUGAUUGCCGGGCUGAAGACUCUGCAUGACUAGCUG